RNA transcript from Astyanax mexicanus (Mexican tetra), 4148 nucleotides. It is a transcript of the gene named platelet-derived growth factor alpha polypeptide b, with no coding region annotated. The transcript is spliced from 7 exons. The record is from RefSeq and is a predicted model, not a curated record. NCBI's taxonomy places the organism in Eukaryota, Metazoa, Chordata, Actinopteri, Characiformes, Acestrorhamphidae.
ACUCAGCGCGCGGCGGAGAGUAGGACAGCGCGCCUUCCUGCCUCCGAACUUUAGAGAGAAAACUCCGCGAGCUCCAGCAGCUUUGAUCUUGUGUGCGUGCGCGUGUGCGCGCUUUUAUCCUCGGACACGAGCCUGGGAAUUGAAUUGCUUUCCUGAGGAUAUCUGAGAGUGUUCUUCUGGGCUGUUUGAGACGCUUAACGUUUAAUUUAAUCCUGAACUAAAUUACUUUGUUAAAUUAUUUAAUUGAUUAAUUUGUUUAAUAUCAGUCGUUGUGGUGAGUUUAGCUGUUGCACGUGGCUUCUUCGGGGAUUGUGCAAGCGCUCUAUUGGGAACGGUCACUUAUGUCGUGAGAGGGGACGCUGGAUUUUCACCCCCUUCCUCCAGCCCCCCGCCCUCCUCUUCCUCCUCCCCCCGGCGCUGUCCGAGGGAUGGUGGUGGUCCCACCGCGCUCAGGCUCAGGAGCCCCGCGUUUCGGGGUGGACUCAGAUUGAGGGGAGAUGAAGACCACCACUCUGUGCUGCUGCCUGCUCUUAACCUGCCUCAGGAUAAGCACUGCUGAGGAGCUGGGGAUUCCUCAGGAUCUGAUGGACAAGCUGGCUCACAGCGAAAUCCACAGCAUCAGCGACCUCCAGCGGCUGCUGGAUUUACACUCCGGACACUCUGCAGGUUUGGGAAAUGAAGUGAUGGAGCACUCCAAACAGAAGCACCACCAGAAAGGCCACUCACACCACCACGGCUAUGAGCUCAAGAGCAACCAGGUGCACCGGCGGCGCAAGAGGAGUAUUGUAGAGGAAGCUGUUCCAGCAGUGUGUAAAACACGGACGGUGAUCUACGAAAUCCCCCGCAGUCAAGUGGAUCCCACAGCCGCCAACUUCCUCAUCUGGCCCCCCUGCGUGGAGGUGAAGCGAUGCACAGGCUGUUGCAACACCAGCAACAUGCGCUGCCACGCCUCGAAAAAACACCACCGCACAGUUAAGGUGGCGAAGGUAGAGUUUGCAUCUCGAAAGAAGCCCAAGUUGAAGGAGGUGUUAGUGCGGUUAGAGGAUCACGUGGAGUGUGUAUGUGUGUCACAGCACCAUGUGACAGAACAUGUGGAAGCAGAAACAGGACCCCUUAAGGUCAAAGGUAAAAAACGGAAAAACAGAAAAAAAUCAGUGGCAUCUCAUCUCAGCAAGGAUUUAUUGGCGACGUAAUAAAAACAGCAGGCGUUCCCUAAAGUGCGGCGGAUCCGUGCCUACUGCAAGUGGACGUAAGGUGAAAGCAGGCCAGAGGAGGGACUGUAGCGACGGAGGGGCUAAAGCGAGGUCACUACGCUCCACCAGCGCUGUGGCCUUGACCUCUGCCACCCUACCCCACUGCGACCGUCACAACUAAAAAGAGAUGAACUGUAACCUGAGAUUCAAAACACCAGCCCAACACCAAAGGUGCUUUCUACCCCACCCCAAAGCAAUAAACUCCUCCCAACACUGAAGACCACGACAGUGAUGAUGAUGGUGAUGAUGAUACAUGAUACACUGGCUGGAAACGACGAUUAUGAGUUUAUUAAGGACUUAAUGCUUGAGGAGAAAGUCUUUUGGAGUAGCAACAUUUUGGAGUACUGAACUUUGGAGGACCUGCGAACAUUACCACACAAAGUGGGCUUCAAUCCAUUCGAGGACAUCUACAGGAGCCCGGAUGAGACGGAUUUAUCAGAUUUGUGGGAUUUAUCGGAUUUGAAAAGGCUCAGCAUGAUGAACUCAAGUGAAAGACUGAAGCAGAGCCACAUUUAGUGCUGAGUCAGGUGUUCCUGAGAGUAAAGUCGUGUUUUAAAAGGGAAUUUUUUGGGGACGUUUAUUUGCUGGACCUUCUUUUCUCAGCUGCACCUGGGCUGAUCGAGCUGCUCUACAACUUCUCUGUUCUGUAGUAUCCUAACUGCUCCUUCAGGAACUGCUGAGACUGCCAGUCUGAACUGUGUAGACCGGGAGGAAAAGUCUAUUAUGCAGUAGUUACUUAAGAAUAAACUAUUUAUAGACUCUCUAUCUCUCUAUCUCUAUCUCUCUCUCUCUCUCUCCUGAUCUUUCUCUCCCAGCACAAAAACUACAAACCAAUGUAAUAUCCGCAUAAGACUGUUAUCUUCUCUACUGCCAACAUUACCAAUGUCAUUAACUGUCCAUAAAUGCUUUUUGAUGAUGUUGCUUAUUAUAUAACAGCAAAUGUUCAAUCUCAGAACCAGCAUAUCAGCUGACAGAGUGUGUGCGAUGGGAAGAACAGGUGUGAAGAGACCUAAAAGGAAAGAUGUUUUAUUUUUGUUAAGAAAAUAUGUGCUUAUGUAUAUUCCAGCAGGAAGUAUGUUUUUAUUUUUAUUUCUUUGGUUCUUGUUGUAUGCUAACUAAAGUGCUGAGCUGAGAAACGCUUACUAGCCUUCACCCACUGAGAGGGCUAGCAGUAGACAAGAGUGAACUGUACUGUCGUUUGGCGAAAUGGACAAAAUUUGGAUCGAAAACAGGGAACUGACACACAUCUGAUAAAGUUUGAUGGUGUAAAAUUUUACACCAUAUGUAAUGUUCUAAAUGUUGGUAAUAGCAAGUCAAGCAGACUGACCACGCUGACUGACCAGCAGAUACAGCACCAGACCUGCAUUAAUCAUCUUAAACCCAACAUUAAACAGCAAAACUACAGAAUAAUGCAUUUUUAGUGCUGGUAUGCUGGUCAGAACCGUAAUGAUCAUGCUGACUGACCAGAAAAAACAGUUCCACACCAGCAUAGACCAUCAUAAACCAAUUAAACAUGGCAUAGACCAACAGACAUGCUUCAGCCUAAGGUCUAAGCCUUUUUUCCAUCGCUUCUCAGAAGGGAUGCCAACAACUUUGCUAAAAACUAGCUAAGAUACUAAGCUAAUGUGCUCAGUGUGAUCAAUCAAACAACAGCCAGGGUUUUCCCAAUCAUAUUCAAACAGUGUACUAUUGCUAAUAAGGUCACAAUAUAAAAGACAAUGCAAAAAGUCGCUACACUGUCACACACUGGCCCUAGUGUAUUAGCAAUGAAUGUUUUCUAGCCCUAAGCAAUGUUCAGUUUAAAAGCAUUGGAGAUGGAGUUCUAAUCUAAAUGCUUUUGUACCAAUUUGAGGUUCUAAUUUAUUGAGACAUUAUGGAAAUAAUUCAUCAUGUUCCAGGAAGGUGAGAUACUGCUAUCUGUUUCAGUACUCUUUUUAAAUUGGUCAUAAAUAGUAGUUCAAGCGGUAGCCUGAGAAAAAACAAACCUUGUAAUACAUAACAUUCAGCUCAUGACAUUUUUAUACAUGCUACAGGACUUCUGAUACUUCAAGUUACUCCAAUAACCUUAGCGACUUAGCAAGUUAAAGACUACACAGCUAACAGUAACAAAACAGAAGAAAUGCCAUGAUAUUUUACAUAUUUACAAAUAUAAAGUGUAAAGUUAUGGUUAGCUCCUUCCUGAUGGUGCCAUAGCCAUUCAUCACCAGCAGUCUGUUAGCUAAUGUAGCUGAACUGCUUAUCAGUGUUCUCCUCCAAGCACACUGAGCUGUACAGCGAUGCUCCUCUAGUGGCAUUUUGAUGCUUCUCAUGUCCUGGAGGAAAUGUGUGCUGGCCUUCAGUUAAGUAGCACUGUGUGCACAGAAAAACACCCAUAUGGACUAAUUCCCUUUUCUUUUUUUAAAGAUAUUAAAAACAGUACUGAAACAUGGCUCUACUUCCACAACCACCCUACCAAAUGCCCUUUUCUUACCCCAUCUCUUCUUGGCAGUACUUCAGAAGGUAAAGUAAAGCAUUAAACAGAAAAGAUAUUGAGUAGUUUGUACAGAGUGUACUGGGUGUUCUAAAGGGAUUCCUGCUGCUGUUUUUGUAUUAAGAGCUCCAACAUUUCACUGAAUAUUAGAGGUCUACGAUGAUGUAAUUGGUGCUAUAUUUAUAAUGCAAGCUAGCAAUGUAUCAUAGCCGACCUUCACCCUAGCCAUUCAUAUAAACAUUCUUUUAGGUUUAUAUGUAGAACAGGGACCAUGUUCAAGGACUACACCAUACAUAUUAUCACUGAGCUUUUGUUUUUAAUUUCUAUGCCCUUGAUUGGAUGAAAUAACAAUGACUAUAAUUUAUAUAUUUAUGGUUUCAGUAAUAAAGUACAUUUCUGCUCAUUAAACUUUAUAUAAAAGAUAA